Molecule: ribosomal RNA, 301 nt
Filed under: uncultured bacterium
Lineage: Bacteria
Description: partial 16S ribosomal RNA
Rfam family: Bacterial small subunit ribosomal RNA
Source: RNAcentral
CAGUAGCCGCGGUAAUACGAGGGGGGCAAGCGUUGUUCGGAAUUAUUGGGCGUAAAGGGUGCGUAGGCGGCUUGACAAGUCUUGUGUGAAAUCUAUUGGCUCAACCCAUAGUCUGCACGGGAAACUGUCGGGCUUGAGAAUGGGAGAGGUGAGUGGAAUUUCCGGUGUAGCGGUGAAAUGCGUAGAUAUCGGAAGGAACACCUGUGGCGAAAGCGGCUCACUGGACAAUAACUGACGCUGAUGCACGAAAGCUAGGGGAGCGAACAGGAUUAGAGACCCGCGUAGUCCCUGUCUCUUAUAC